GUCGCUUCUCGGCCUUUUGGCUAAGAUCGAGUGUAGUGUCUGUUCUUCUCACUUUAAUAUCCGAUACAUCCUCUAUCUAAGACAAUAUAUUAAAUGGAUUUUUGGAACUAGGAGUUGGCAUAGGAGCUUGCUCUGUCCACUCCACGCAUCAACCUGGUAUUGAAGUACCUCCAGGAAUGCUACACCCCGU
Meriones unguiculatus (Mongolian gerbil) is the source of this 190-nucleotide small nuclear RNA. Its record names the gene U2. It matches the Rfam family "U2 spliceosomal RNA". From Rfam's summary of the family: U2 is a small nuclear RNA (snRNA) component of the spliceosome (involved in pre-mRNA splicing). Complementary binding between U2 snRNA (in an area lying towards the 5' end but 3' to hairpin I) and the branchpoint sequence (BPS) of the intron results the bulging out of an unpaired adenosine, on the BPS, which initiates a nucleophilic attack at the intronic 5' splice site, thus starting the first of two transesterification reactions that mediate splicing. NCBI's taxonomy places the organism in Eukaryota, Metazoa, Chordata, Mammalia, Rodentia, Muridae. The record is from Ensembl.